AGAACGAACGCUGGCGGCAGGCUUAACACAUGCAAGUCGAACGCUCGUAGCAAUACGGGAGUGGCAGACGGGUGAGUAACGCGUGGGAACAUACCCUCCGGUUCGGAAUAGCUCAGGGAAACUUGGAUUAAUACCGGAUACGGCUGAGAGGCGAAAGAUUUAUCGCCGGAGGAUUGGCCCGCGUUCGAUUAGCUUGUUGGUGAGGUAACGGCUCACCAAGGCGAUGAUCGAUAGCUGGUCUGAGAGGAUGAUCAGCCACAUUGGGACUGAGACACGGCCCAAACUCCUACGGGAGGCAGCAGUGGGAAUAUUGGACAAUGGGCGCAAGCCUGAUCCAGCCAUGCCGCGUGAGUGAUGACGGCCUUAGGGUUGUAAAGCUCUUUCGCUCGGGACGAUAAUGACGGUACCGAGAUAAGAAGCCCCGGCUAACGUUCGCGCCAGCAGCCGC
RNAcentral lists this ribosomal RNA (448 nucleotides) under uncultured bacterium. RNAcentral's name for it is "SSU rRNA". It matches the Rfam family "Bacterial small subunit ribosomal RNA", at positions 26 to 518 of the family's 1533-position model. The record is from RNAcentral.